UGAUAAGGCACACAUGCUGGUUUCGUUCAUUAGAACAGAUAAUUUCAGACUGAGCAGCUCAACGGUAUUUUGGCUAGAGAAUUUUGCUUUCAUCUUGGCCUUCAUUACUUACGUAAAUCUCGCAGUGAUCAGAAAAGUUUCUCCAGGAUUUAAAGUCUCACUUGGAUUUAAUAUGGCUUCUUGGAUCUUGUCUCCUUGCAAGUUCCCAUUUGGGGUUGAAAGUAGGCUGUAAAUGACUGAGAGAUUAAUAUUCCAAGUUGAUAGUAUGAUAUGCAACUCAUUUGUUAUAAUUAGUCCCACUGUGCUUCAUCAGGAAGCGGUGGGAUUUAUGGACUCUGGGCUGUAGAUUAAGUCUCCUGGUCCUUCUGAUGGAGAGUUUAGUAGAAGGCAGUGAAGGGUGAAGUUCCUGUUUGUCUACUGCUGUGUAAAGCUGAACUUUACAGUCCUAAAGAAGGGAGAAGCGAAAGAACUCAACUCACAUCUCUUGCUUAGUUUCAAAUCUGUUUUUGCAUUUGAGUUAGCAGGUUCUAGUAAAUACUGCUUGCUGU
RNAcentral lists this small RNA (548 nucleotides) under Pongo abelii (Sumatran orangutan). Its description in RNAcentral is "processed transcript". Lineage: Eukaryota; Metazoa; Chordata; Mammalia; Primates; Hominidae. The record is from RNAcentral.